Non-coding RNA from Lolium perenne, 1191 nucleotides. NCBI's taxonomy places the organism in Eukaryota, Viridiplantae, Streptophyta, Magnoliopsida, Poales, Poaceae. The record is from RefSeq and is a predicted model, not a curated record.
AUUUUAUGCUAUCAACAAACAAAUUUCUUAAAUACCUCUUUCAUAGGUUAAAGGCUCUUAGUUCGUUUGAUUUACACAGAUUGGUUUAUAUGUUACCGAUAAUGUCUACAUGCUCGCAUUGUUUUCUAGAAAACAAAGUUGUUUAUAUAGUUCCAUUUCCUCUUUGAUUCAAUUUAAUAUUUUCUCCAGCUUUUGUAACAUGGUUCAUAUGGGCAUGGAUAAGAGGGCCGGUGCAGUUGACACGGGAAAAUAAAGAAGAAAUAACGAUCUUGUUACAGUUACAUAUAUUAAUUUGGCCGUUUCAUUGGAAGCUACUCAAGCAAUAGGGAAUCUAGCUCAAGGGUUCAUAUAGUUUGAAACAUGACUCUGGAACUAUGUUGUAAGGGUUCGGGCAUCUGACUGGGCGAGCAAAGAACUCUCAAGAUAAUAUCCCUUCAGCAUAGCAUAGAAAGAGUGGGAACGGAGAGGUAUCUAUGUAUUGUCAACAUUGCUUCCCAGUUCGACUUGUUGUCUGGUUGCAGUGAUAUUAGUGUACAGAGUUUUCCAGGAGAUCCAUUUCCCCAUAUUUUGAGGCAAUUCAUUUUUGUGUGUGCUUUGAAUUGUUAUUUCAGUCACCUGUUGUAACUGUCUACUUACUGUACCUGCUUGACAAAACUAUAUGUUUUGUUCUGUAGUUCCUACUGCUAUUGCUGCCAUUGACUUCCACAUGUACCUAAUGGGCAAAACUGAAGAUCAAAUUAAGUCACAAAUGUAUUGCAUGUUACCGUCUUGAUAGUCCCGGGGGAAAAGCUUGUGGUUUGAUCAACUAUUGGUGGCUUGCUAAGGCUACUAUUGUAGAGAUCAUGACUACUCUCUUUCACUCACAGUUUGUACACAAUAAGAUUAUAUCUACCAUGGAAACUGGGGAAUAAGUGUCAACAUUUUUGGUCAAGAAACCGAUUGAUGAUUGGUAUAUUACAUAUGCUCAGUUUAUCACUUUCUUCCAGUUUAUGGCCUCUUUGUGAUGCAUUUUUCCCGUGCUUGCCAUAAUUGAUGUAUUAAUACUCUACUGGUUCCUUAUACUCCAAUUUAGAGGUUUUCCAAAUAUUGUGAUGGAGUUCGUUUUCAGAAUUUUGUUAUGUCGAAGGAAAACAAUCAGGUUUACGCAAUUCAGAAAUUCUCAAGUUGCAUAAAAUAUAUUAUGUGUUAGUU